RNAcentral lists this ribosomal RNA (545 nucleotides) under uncultured archaeon. Its description in RNAcentral is "bacterial SSU rRNA". It matches the Rfam family "Bacterial small subunit ribosomal RNA", at positions 509 to 1050 of the family's 1533-position model. The record is from RNAcentral.
CAGCAGCCGCGGUAAUACGUAGGGGGCAAGCGUUGUCCGGAAUUAUUGGGCGUAAAGGGCUCGCAGGCGGCUUCUUAAGUCUGAUGUGAAAUAUUGCGGCUCAACCGCAAGAGGUCAUUGGAAACUGGGAGGCUUGAGUAUAGGAGAGGAAAGUGGAAUUCCACGUGUAGCGGUGAAAUGCGUAGAGAUGUGGAGGAACACCAGUGGCGAAGGCGACUUUCUGGCCUAUAACUGACGCUGAGGAGCGAAAGCGUGGGUAGCAAACAGGAUUAGAUACCCUGGUAGUCCACGCCGUAAACGAUGAGUGCUAGGUGUUAGGGGUUUCGAUACCCUUAGUGCCGCAGUUAACACAUUAAGCACUCCGCCUGGGGAGUACGGCCGCAAGGCUGAAACUCAAAGGAAUUGACGGGGGCCCGCACAAGCAGUGGAGCAUGUGGUUUAAUUCGAAGCAACGCGAAGAACCUUACCAGGUCUUGACAUCCUCUGACAACUCUAGAGAUAGAGCCUUCCCCUUCGGGGGACAGAGUGACAGGAGGUGCAUGGCC